CCACUGAACCACAUUCCCAGCCCUUUUAUUUAUUUAUAUAUAUAUAUAUAUAUAUAUAUAUAUAUAUAUAUAUAUAUAUAUAUAUAUAUAUAUAUAUAUAUAUAAAUAAAUAAAAGGGCUGGGAAUGUGGUUCAGUGG
RNAcentral lists this microRNA precursor (138 nucleotides) under Marmota monax (woodchuck). The record is from RNAcentral. Lineage: Eukaryota; Metazoa; Chordata; Mammalia; Rodentia; Sciuridae.